RNAcentral lists this ribosomal RNA (468 nucleotides) under uncultured bacterium. Its description in RNAcentral is "partial 16S ribosomal RNA". It matches the Rfam family "Bacterial small subunit ribosomal RNA", at positions 28 to 507 of the family's 1533-position model. The record is from RNAcentral.
GAUGAACGCUGGCGGCGUGCUUAACACAUGCAAGUCGAACGGAAAGGCCCAAGCUUGCUUGGGUACUCGAGUGGCGAACGGGUGAGUAACACGUGGGUGAUCUACCCUGCACUUCGGGAUAAGCCUGGGAAACUGGGUCUAAUACCGGAUAGGACGAUGGUUUGGAUGCCAUUGUGGAAAGUUUUUUCGGUGUGGGAUGAGCUCGCGGCCUAUCAGCUUGUUGGUGGGGUAAUGGCCUACCAAGGCGUCGACGGGUAGCCGGCCUGAGAGGGUGUACGGCCACAUUGGGACUGAGAUACGGCCCAGACUCCUACGGGAGGCAGCAAUGGGGAAUAUUGCACAAUGGGCGCAAGCCUGAUGCAGCGACGCCGCGUGGGGGAUGACGGCCUUCGGGUUGUAAACUCCUUUCGCUAGGGACGAAGCGUUUUUGUGACGGUACCUGGAGAAGAAGCACCGGCUAACUACGUG